GACGAACCGUGCGAACGUUGUUCGGAAUCACUGGGCUUAAAGGGCGCGUAGGCGGGCUGCCAAGUUCGGGGUGAAAUCCUCCCGCUCAACGGGAGAACGGCCUCGAAUACUGGCGGUCUCGAGGGAGGUAGGGGCGUGCGGAACUAUGGGUGGAGCGGUGAAAUGCGUUGAUAUCCAUAGGAACUCCGGUGGCGAAGGCGGCAUCCUGGACCAUAACUGACGCUGAGGCGCGAAAGCUAGGGGAGCAAACGGG
This 253-nucleotide ribosomal RNA is filed under the name uncultured bacterium. Its description in RNAcentral is "partial 16S ribosomal RNA". It matches the Rfam family "Bacterial small subunit ribosomal RNA", at positions 524 to 776 of the family's 1533-position model. The record is from RNAcentral.